Small nuclear RNA from Anolis carolinensis (green anole), 107 nucleotides. NCBI's taxonomy places the organism in Eukaryota, Metazoa, Chordata, Lepidosauria, Squamata, Anolidae. The record is from Ensembl.
GUUCUCUCUUGUCAGUACAUAUUCUAAAAAUGGAAAGAAAGAGAGAAGAUUAGCUUUGCCCCUCUGCCAAGGUGGUCAUGUAAAUUUGUGAAGCGUGUGCUAUUUUG